GGAGGGGUCGCAUAGAGGCCUAGUGCGCCGGUUUGCUAAACCGGUAAGGGGUGUAUAACCCCUUCGAGGGUUCGAAUCCCUCUCCCUCCGCCA
RNAcentral lists this transfer RNA (93 nucleotides) under Chloroflexota bacterium. Its description in RNAcentral is "tRNA-Ser". It matches the Rfam family "tRNA". Rfam says of the family: Transfer RNA (tRNA) molecules are approximately 80 nucleotides in length. Their secondary structure includes four short double-helical elements and three loops (D, anti-codon, and T loops). Lineage: Bacteria; Bacillati; Chloroflexota. The record is from RNAcentral. RNAcentral also lists the same sequence under 1 other name.